AAGCAAUUUAUGGAAGGGAACAUUCUUUAUUGGUUCCAAGGCCUCAAGCCGUUCGAUCUUCAAUCCCGAAAAUUGAACGACUCAGGAACCUCUUUAUAACUACGAGGGCAAUUGCGGAGUCUAGGAGAUUAAUCGAGCAUAACGAGCUAUCUAGCGCGAUGCAUUUAUUGUCAUCGGCUCGAGCAUUGUUGAUACAAUCCGGGUCGGCUUUUGUGGACGAGUAUGUAAGAGGAUUAGAAGCCGAGCUGACGGAAGUGCAAUGGAG
RNAcentral lists this unclassified non-coding RNA (265 nucleotides) under Hevea brasiliensis (rubber tree). Lineage: Eukaryota; Viridiplantae; Streptophyta; Magnoliopsida; Malpighiales; Euphorbiaceae. The record is from RNAcentral.